Regulatory RNA element from Rhizobium sp. Root149, 57 nucleotides. It matches the Rfam family "COG3860 RNA". The record is from Rfam. NCBI's taxonomy places the organism in Bacteria, Pseudomonadati, Pseudomonadota, Alphaproteobacteria, Hyphomicrobiales, Rhizobiaceae.
GGGUCCGCAGUUCACCCAGGCGUCACCGCCCGUUCUUGACGGGAGCUAAACCUGACA